GCCAGCAGUCAUAUCACCCUGUAACUCACAACUGGCAACCCACAGAAGCUAAUCAGGUGUGAGCCUGGUCAGUACCUGGAUGGGAGACCUCCUGGGAACUUAAGGUUGCUGCUGGAA
RNAcentral lists this ribosomal RNA (117 nucleotides) under Lepisosteus oculatus (spotted gar). Lineage: Eukaryota; Metazoa; Chordata; Actinopteri; Semionotiformes; Lepisosteidae. The record is from RNAcentral.